Molecule: ribosomal RNA, 230 nt
Filed under: uncultured bacterium
Lineage: Bacteria
Description: partial 16S ribosomal RNA
Rfam family: Bacterial small subunit ribosomal RNA
Source: RNAcentral
UGGGUAACCUGCCCCCGGCUCUGGGAUAACUCCAAGAAAUUGGGGCUAAUACCGGAUGUGACCGCUGACCGCAUGGUCUGGUGGUGGAAAGGGUUUCCGGCUGGGGAUGGGCCCGCGGCCUAUCAGCUUGUUGGUGGGGUAGUGGCCUACCAAGGCGACGACGGGUAGCUGGCCUGAGAGGGUGACCGGCCACACUGGGACUGAGACACGGCCCAGACUCCGUACGGGAG